UAAACAGACAGGGACAGACAGGAGUGGCGUUAACUCACUGAGGCUUUGAGGAUAAGAUGGCGACUUAUUAAAUAAUCGAACAUUUAAAAAUACCAUUUUUAGAAGUGAAAUGAAUUCUCUUCUCAUUCAUUAUUUUGUGAUUUUUUUUUUUAACCUAAUGAUCAGAUUCUGGUUUAGUCUCGGGCCAUUUCCUGUGCUUGAAACAGUAUAAUGUUCGAGGUAAAUCAUUAUAGGGAAAAGUAGACUUCUGACUUUUUUGAAUCCAAGCAGCCUGCAGGUACAAAUUACAAAUCUAGUGAUACUAGUAAAUAUUUGGAAUUCCUUCUGGAGUUUUAAAAAUAAUUAUGAAUCAAUGUAGUAUAGGAACUUUUAGCAUGUCUAUUUAAACCUGUUUCCAUCACUGCAAAAUUUUCGUUCUACAAUUUGAAUUACUAAACGUGUCGGCCAUACGCACGUGUCCUGUUCAAUCAGGUAAUGCAUCAAUGCGGCGGAGAGGAACGCUCAGUCCAAGCCUGCUUCCAGGUGGAGGAUCGGCUUUGGGAAAACUUGGCUUGACUGAGGAGGACAUCAUAGAGGAGAUUGAAAAUGGUGAGUCUUCUGAGGGCCGGAACUGGUCAAGUGAGAAGAGUUUAUGGAAUAAAAUAGUGCGGAGGAUGAAGAACGUUGGUUUUUAAAGUGAGAAGCUGUUUCUAAUUAUCUACAAGUGGUGAACAGGAUGCUUUGUCUUCAAGGCCCUCUUCCUUUGUCCUCACUGGUACUCAUGAGAUAACAGAUUCACACAUGGAGCGUUUAAUAUAGUCCUAUAUGGAUGGUGUCAUUUCAACAGAAGAAGAGAAUCUAGUGAAAGAACUAGUGGCCAUGUCAACUAGGGAACGAAUUCAAGCCAUCCGAAGCCUUCCGGUGUGCUUUGAAGACAAGAAAAACAUCAGGAAUCAUGUGCUGGCAACCAAGUCAUCCAAGAGGCGCUGUAAACUCACCUGCUGUGCAGACUGCACUGAGAAGGUCUCUUUGGUAAGGCUGAAAGCUCUUCCUUUCAAAUGAAGCCUAUACAGUUAUUCAUUCACUUAUAUUAUAUUGAUAACUUUGGUUGUCACCCCAGCCCCAUGCGACCAUCCAGAUACACAAACACACACACACACACAGUCUGAAGCUGCUGGUCCUAAGCUGGGUCGCGGUGAACCAGAGCCUAACCCAGCAACACAGGGCACCAGGCUGGAGGGGGAGGGCAAACACCCAGGACGGGACGCCAGUCCAUUGCAAGGCACCCCAGGCAGGACUUGAACCCCAGACCCACCAGAGAGUGGGACCCAACCAAACCCACUGCGCCACCACACCCC
Molecule: long non-coding RNA, 1337 nt
Filed under: Scleropages formosus (Asian bonytongue)
Lineage: Eukaryota; Metazoa; Chordata; Actinopteri; Osteoglossiformes; Osteoglossidae
Description: lncRNA (ENSSFOG00015033173.1)
Source: RNAcentral